CAUAGAUAGGGUCUGCCUGAGCUUUCACCCCAGGAACUGUAAACUUUAUAUUACAGUAGUCCCCCCUUAUCCAAGGUUUUAGCUUUCCAAGGUUUCAUUUACCUGUGGUCAACCAUGGUCCAGAAACAUUAUAUGGAAAAUUCCAGAAAUAAACAAUGUAUAAGUUUUAAAUUGUGAGUCAUUCUGAGUAGUGUGAGGAGAUCUUGUGCUGUCCUGCUCCAUCCUGCCUGGGUCAUAAACCCUCUCUCUCGGGGUCCAGCAUCUCCACGCUGUAGACACCCCCACCACCAACCAGUCACUUAGUGGCCAUCUCAGUUACCAGAUCUACUGUCAGGGGGUCUCAGUGCUUAGGUUCCUUUUUUAUUUUUGAGACAGAGGCUGGCUCUGUCGCCCAGGCUGGAGUGCAGUGGCAUGAUCUUGGCUCGCUGUAACCUCCACCUCCUGGGCUUAAGCCAUGCUCCCACCUCAGCCUGCCGAGUAGCUGGGACUACAGGUAUGUGCCACCGUGACCGGUGAAUUUUUGUGUUUUUUGUAGAGGCAGAGUUUUGCCAUGUUGCCCAGGCUAGUCUCAAACUCCCGAGCUCAAGUGAUCCACCUGCCUUGGACUCCCAAAAUGCUGGGAUUACAGGUGUGAGCCACUGUGCCUGGCAGGAACUAUUAUUUGACUUCACAAUGGCCUCAAAGUUCCAAGAGUAUGAUGCUGGCAAUCUGGAUAUGCCAAAAACCAGCCAUGAAGUCCUUCCUUUAGUUAAAAGGUGAAAGUUCUCAAGAAAAAAAAAAGUAUGCUGAGAUUGCUAAGAUCUACAGUAAGAAUCAAUCUUCUAUCCAUGAAAUUGUGAAAAAGGACAAAGAAAUUUGUGCUAGUUUUGCUGCUGUACCUAAAACUACAAAAGUUACAGCCACAGUGUGGGCUAAGUGCCGAGCUGAAAUGGAAAAGGCAUUAAAGGGUCACACAAGGUCUUAAGACACAGGAGUCCCUGUGUCUGAACGUAAUCACUGUGUAUGCGUCUCAGCCUAAUGAGGAGGUGACUAUCAUGAAGGUCUGGUGGUGAAGAUCUUGCAAGAAGGUGCCUUGUUUGAGAUCUUUCAAGGAAACACAGUACUCAAUAAAUGUGGUUCGGUGUACAGUUGAGCCUUGAGCAACAUGGAUUUGAACUGCAUGGGGCCACUUAAAUGUGCAUUUUCUUAUGACUCCGCUGCUCUUGAGACAGCAAGAUCAAGCCCCCUCCUCCUCAGCCAACUCAACGUGAAGACAAUGAAGAUCAAGAUCUUUAAGAUGAUCCACUUCCACUUAAUGAAUAAUAAAUAUAUUUUGUCGUUAUGAUUUUCCUAACACUUUCUCUAGCUUACUUUAUUGCAGGAAUACAGUAUAUAAUCAUGUAACAUACCAAAU
RNAcentral lists this long non-coding RNA (1393 nucleotides) under Homo sapiens (human). RNAcentral describes it as "HSALNT0374811". Lineage: Eukaryota; Metazoa; Chordata; Mammalia; Primates; Hominidae. The record is from RNAcentral.